Molecule: ribosomal RNA, 904 nt
Filed under: Chalara angustata
Lineage: Eukaryota; Fungi; Ascomycota; Leotiomycetes; Helotiales
Description: LSU rRNA
Rfam family: Eukaryotic large subunit ribosomal RNA
Source: RNAcentral
GCAUAUCAAUAAGCGGAGGAAAAGAAACCAACCGGGAUUACCUCAGUAACGGCGAGUGAAGCGGUAACAGCUCAAAUUUGAAAUCUGGCCUCGGCCCGAGUUGUAAUUUGUAGAAGAUGCUUCGGGUGUGGCUCCGGUCUAAGUUCCUUGGAACAGGACGUCAUAGAGGGUGAGAAUCCCGUAUGUGACUGGGUGCCUCCGCCUGUGUGAAGCUCUUUCGACGAGUCGAGUUGUUUGGGAAUGCAGCUCAAAAUGGGUGGUAUAUUUCAUCUAAAGCUAAAUAUUGGCCAGAGACCGAUAGCGCACAAGUAGAGUGAUCGAAAGAUGAAAAGCACUUUGGAAAGAGAGUUAAACAGUACGUGAAAUUGUUGAAAGGGAAGCGUUUGCAACCAGACUUGCGCGCUGCCGAUCAUCCGGUGUUCUCACCGGUGCACUCGGUUGCGUUCAGGCCAGCAUCGGUUUGGGUGGCUGGAUAAAGGCCUUGGGAAUGUAGCUUCUUUCGGGGAGUGUUAUAGCCCUGGGUGCAAUGCAGCCUACCUGGACCGAGGACCGCGCUUCGGCUAGGAUGCUGGCGUAAUGGUUGUAAACGACCCGUCUUGAAACACGGACCAAGGAGUCUAACAUCUAUGCGAGUAUUUGGGUGUCAAACCCAUCUGCGCAAUUAACGUGAACGGAGGUAAGAGCCUUUAAAGGUGCAUUAUCGACCGGUCCUGAUGUCUUCGGACGGAUCUGAGUAAGAGCAUAGCUGUUAGGACCCGAAAGAUGGUGAACUAUACUUGAAUAGGGUGAAGCCAGAGGAAACUCUGGUGGAGGCUCGCAGCGGUUCUGACGUGCAAAUCGAUCGUCAAAUUUGGGUAUAGGGGCGAAAGACUAAUCGAACCAUCUAGUAGCUGGUUCCUGCCGA